GGGAGGCUUUGAAGUGUGGACGCCAGUCUGCAUGGAGCCGACCUUGAAAUACCACCCUUUAAUGUUUGAUGUUCUAACGUGGACCCGUUACCCGGGUUGCGGACAGUGUCUGGUGGGUAGUUUGACUGGGGCGGUCUCCUCCUAAAGAGUAACGGAGGAGCACGAAGGUUGGCUAAUCCUGGUCGGACAUCAGGAGGUUAGUGCAAUGGCAUAAGCCAGCUUGACUGCGAGCGUGACGGCGCGAGCAGGUGCGAAAGCAGGUCAUAGUGAUCCGGUGGUUCUGAAUGGAAGGGCCAUCGCUCAACGGAUAAAAGGUACUCCGGGGAUAACAGGCUGAUACCGCCCAAGAGUUCAUAUCGACGGCGGUGUUUGGCACCUCGAUGUCGGCUCAUCACAUCCUGGGGCUGAAGUAGGUCCCAAGGGUAUGGCUGUUCGCCAUUUAAAGUGGUACGCGAGCUGGGUUUAGAACGUCGUGAGACAGUUCGGUCCCUAUCUGCCGUGGGCGCUGGAGAACUGAGGGGGGCUGCUCCUAGUACGAGAGGACCGGAGUGGACGCAUCACUGGUGUUCGGGUUGUCAUGCCAAUGGCACUGCCCGGUAGCUAAAUGCGGAAGAGAUAAGUGCUGAAAGCAUCUAAGCACGAAACUUGCCCCGAGAUGAGUUCUCCCUGAGACUUUAGGUCUCCUGAAGGAACGUUGAAGACGACGACGUUGAUAGGCCGGGUGUGUAAGCGCAGCGAUGCGUUGAGCUAACCGGUACUAAUGAACCGUGAGGCUUAACCUUACAACGCCGAAG
RNAcentral lists this ribosomal RNA (794 nucleotides) under Salmonella enterica. RNAcentral describes it as "bacterial LSU rRNA". It matches the Rfam family "Bacterial large subunit ribosomal RNA", at positions 2149 to 2925 of the family's 2925-position model. Lineage: Bacteria; Pseudomonadati; Pseudomonadota; Gammaproteobacteria; Enterobacterales; Enterobacteriaceae. The record is from RNAcentral.